Procambarus clarkii (red swamp crayfish) is the source of this 882-nucleotide non-coding RNA. The record is from RefSeq and is a predicted model, not a curated record. Lineage: Eukaryota; Metazoa; Arthropoda; Malacostraca; Decapoda; Cambaridae.
GCGUCUAUAUAUACAUAACUGGACGCUAUGAGAGCCACUCUGGAAGCUUACCCGGCCUGUGAGUGUGUGCUCGUUCCUCAGGCUACCCGAAUUUUGUAAUCACCACCAGUGCCAUCACGAGCACGAGCACCACCACGACCUCCAGCACCACUACGCCCCUAGCGUCACCAUGAAGACCUUCGCCGUCCUCUUCCUGUGCCUGGUGGUCACCGCCGCCGGAGUCCCCCAGCAGGGCGCCGCAACGCGCGAUGGCCGCUUCUUAAUACCCGUUCCAAUUCUCAUAGGCUCCCCCACCGUCCCCACCACUACACUCAACCCGCUCGGGAUCCUCGGACUCAUUUGUCCACCACUUAUUUGCGAUAAAUUAACCACCUCAACAACCACAACAACAACCACCACAACACGCCGCCCCCCUGGGCCACCAGUAGUGGGCCCUGGAAAAUGAGGAUCAGUCGCCACCGGCACUCGAAUGAGCCAGCACCCUGUGUGUCAAUAAGUUAGUUCAUUGUUUGAUUGUCUCCUCGUUCGCCAUUUAGUCUCAAUUGUUUCACCGUAUACCCAGUCAGUCCCCGUUGUUUCACCGUAUACCCAGUCAGUCCCCGUUGUUUCACCGUAUACCCAGUCAGUCCCCGUUGUUUCACCGUAUACCCAGUCAGUCCCCGUUGUUUCACCGUAUACCCAGUUAGUCCCCGUUGUUUCACCGUAUACCCAGUCAGUCCCCGUUGUUUCACCGUAUACCCAGUCAGUCCCCGUUGUUUCACCGUAUACCCAGUCAGUCCCCGUUGUUUCAUCUAGCUAUAAUUUUUUAUACUGCAACUAAUGUAUUUUUGUACAACACUUAUGCAAGAUUUUGCAAUAAAGUUCUUGUUUUCGUAACAAUUA